GGAAUCUUAGACAAUGGGCGCAAGCCUGAUCUAGCCAUGCCGCGUGAGUGAUGAAGGCCCUAGGGUCGUAAAGCUCUUUCGCCAGGGAUGAUAAUGACAGUACCUGGUAAAGAAACCCCGGCUAACUCCGUUCCAGCAGCCGCGGUAAUACGGAGGGGGUUAGCGUUGUUCGGAAUUACUGGGCGUAAAGCGCGCGUAGGCGGAUCAGAAAGUUGGGGGUGAAAUCCCAGGUCUCAACCCAGGAACUGCCUCCAAAACUCCUGGUCUUGAGGUCGAGAGAGGUGAGUGGAACUCCGAGUGUAGAGGUGAAAUUCGUAGAUAUUCGGAAGAACACCAGUGGCGAAGGCGGCUCGCUGGCUCGAUACUGACGCUGAGGUGCGAAAGUGUGGGGAGC
Molecule: ribosomal RNA, 394 nt
Filed under: uncultured bacterium
Lineage: Bacteria
Description: bacterial SSU rRNA
Rfam family: Bacterial small subunit ribosomal RNA
Source: RNAcentral